GCGAGCGACACGGGGUGCCUGCGAGGGCUGAGAUGAGACCCGUCGAACCUGCUCUGGCUCGUACCAGCGAAGGGAUGUCCGGCGAUGACGCU
RNAcentral lists this non-coding RNA (92 nucleotides) under Cellulosimicrobium funkei. Its description in RNAcentral is "TPP sequence". It matches the Rfam family "TPP riboswitch aptamer (THI element)". Rfam says of the family: Vitamin B(1) in its active form thiamin pyrophosphate (TPP) is an essential coenzyme that is synthesised by coupling of pyrimidine and thiazole moieties in bacteria. The previously detected thiamin-regulatory element, thi box was extended, resulting in a new, highly conserved RNA secondary structure, the THI element, which is widely distributed in eubacteria and also occurs in some archaea. Analysis of operon structures identified a large number of new candidate thiamin-regulated genes, mostly transporters, in various prokaryotic organisms. Lineage: Bacteria; Bacillati; Actinomycetota; Actinomycetes; Micrococcales; Promicromonosporaceae. The record is from Rfam by way of RNAcentral.